This 253-nucleotide ribosomal RNA is filed under the name uncultured bacterium. RNAcentral's name for it is "partial 16S ribosomal RNA". It matches the Rfam family "Bacterial small subunit ribosomal RNA", at positions 524 to 776 of the family's 1533-position model. The record is from RNAcentral.
UACAGAGGGUGCAAGCGUUAAUCGGAAUUACUGGGCGUAAAGCGUGCGUAGUCGGUUAUCUAAGUCAGGUGUGAAAUCCCCGGGCUCAACCUGGGAAUUGCAUUUGAUACUGGAUAGCUAGAGUUCGGCAGAGGGAAGUGGAAUUCCUGGUGUAGCGGUGAAAUGCGCAGAUAUCAGGAGGAACACCCGUGGCGAAGGCGGCUUUCUGGGACGGUACUGACGCUGAGACGCGAAAGCGUGGGGAGCGAACAGG